UACGUAGGGUGCAAGCGUUGUCCGGAAUUAUUGGGCGUAAAGAGCUUGUAGGCGGUUUGUCGCGUCUGCCGUGAAAUUUCGAGGCUCAACCUCGAACUUGCGGUGGGUACGGGCAGACUAGAGUGUGGUAGGGGAGACUGGAAUUCCUGGUGUAGCGGUGAAAUGCGCAGAUAUCAGGAGGAACACCGAUGGCGAAGGCAGGUCUCUGGGCCAGCUACUGACGCUGAGAAGCGAAAGCGUGGGGAGCGAACAGGA
Molecule: ribosomal RNA, 255 nt
Filed under: uncultured bacterium
Lineage: Bacteria
Description: partial 16S ribosomal RNA
Rfam family: Bacterial small subunit ribosomal RNA
Source: RNAcentral